This is a long non-coding RNA of Chroicocephalus ridibundus (black-headed gull), 614 nucleotides long. RefSeq lists it as uncharacterized. The transcript has 4 exons. Lineage: Eukaryota; Metazoa; Chordata; Aves; Charadriiformes; Laridae. The record is from RefSeq and is a predicted model, not a curated record.
GCAGUCCUACUGAGAGCCUCUAGGGGCUACUGCAGUUCAAUAAAUAGCAAUAAAUAAAAUGCAAAACUGGUUUUGAGUCUGAUAUGGGCCGUGUUAAUCUCUGGCGUACUAUCUUGGAUUUCAGAGGAGUUACAUGCAAUGGAAUUUGGCCCACUGACCACGUGCUGUCUGCUCCCACAUUUGCCACGAAGGAGAAAGGAUGUCAACAAAACAUCAGCUUUCCUGACUUCUGGAAUUAACCUCUAGUACAUAUUAGCAGCAGCCUUUUAAGCAGUUUUUACGCUGAGAGACGUUCAGCACGGUGACUGCGGAGGGGUGUGCUCUCACGCAGCCGAGAGGUGAGCUCCUUGGCAUGAGGUGUGCAGUGCAGCCCCUUCAGCAUACGCUGCUAACGAGUCACCGCAAUCAGCUGCCAGUCCCUGGGCAAGCACCUCCUCUUCAGGUAGCAGGUAUGUUGUCACCCUUGGCGGGCGAGGGCCUGAACUCCCGACAUCUCCAGGAGCGCAGGUCAUGUAAGAAGGGAAAACAGCGCUGCACCUUUGAUGUAGUUUUAAUAAAUAUUCAAAGUCCCUUCAAUUACUGCCUGAGUAAUUAGUGUGGAUGCAAAUAAAAUG